RNAcentral lists this long non-coding RNA (1017 nucleotides) under Manihot esculenta (cassava). RNAcentral's name for it is "long non-coding RNA (MESC_LNC004733)". Lineage: Eukaryota; Viridiplantae; Streptophyta; Magnoliopsida; Malpighiales; Euphorbiaceae. The record is from RNAcentral.
CCCCUGCAUAUUUUCAAAAACAAUGAAGCCAUUGCAUAGAUUGAAUUAGCAAUUCAUCCUCCUUAGUAUCCAAACAAAUCCACUAAUGGUUUUAGGCCAUUUACUUGCUCUUUUAAGAGAAUCAAGCAUUGCAAGUAUAUUGUCAUUUGUCAUCCCAAAUUGAAAGUAACAAGUAUGAGGAUUGAGUUCGGGUUCAUUGAGGAGGAUUAAUAAAUCUCUAUAAGGAGAACCAGACGAACAAACAAAAAUUAGAGUUCAUUUCUGUCAAAAAAAAAAAAGAAUGCAAUAUAGGUAAUCAUAAACCAAUUUCUAGGUAUGGACCACUUCACCUUUUCAAGCUAAUUAAAGAAAGACAUUCCACGCAAAAACCAAAAUGCUCAAGUAGUUUAAGCCCAAAAUUCAAACCUGAGGUUAAAUAACAACUAUCAAAUCAAAUCCCCAUAGUUCUUAAAGAAAAAAUCUCUACAGUUGGACAAAAUUAAUUAUUUAUUUUCUUUUUUUCAGAUCAAAAUGUCCUACAUUUUAUAAAAUUAAAUUCUCUAAUUAACCUUGAUAGAAGUCUUUUUUUUUAUCGCUAAAUUAGACUAAUUUUAUGAACUUAUUAUCCCGAGUCGGAAUAAGUAGGUCCAUUUCUCUUUUGCUUACCUCUAUAAAGAGAAGAUGGAAUUUUUUAAGCUUUUAGCAUACUGAGCCCAGCAAAAUAUUCUUCAAUUUAUUUUUACCUUAAAUUUUAUACCAUUUAAAGUAUGCAAGUUUAACUGUUCAUACAAUUUAGUACUUUUAAUUUAAUUAUUUUACUUGAUUUUUACAAAAAAGAACUUGUAAUUUAAUUUACCCUAUCAAUAAACUAAGCUAAUGGAGUUAAUGUGCUUAAACUUGGAUCUCCCAUUCAUCAUUUCGUGCAAUAACAAAUGCUACAUUGAACAUUAUGAAUUAUAAUUCCUAGAAAAGAGAUUAAUUGACGUUAUCUGAGAAAAAAAGGGGGAAAAGGGUACUAAAAUUUGUAAGGAUACCUGU